This is a non-coding RNA of Schistosoma mansoni, 45 nucleotides long. NCBI's taxonomy places the organism in Eukaryota, Metazoa, Platyhelminthes, Trematoda, Strigeidida, Schistosomatidae. The record is from Rfam.
AUCCAUCUGACGAGUCCCAAAUAGGACGAAAUCCGCGUCCUAGAU